CGCACGUGGACGCAGGGCUGCACGUUCUUCACGCGCAUGGACUACCUCGCGCCGCUGUUCAACGAGCUGGCCUACUGCCUCGGGAUCGAGAAGCUGCUCGACAUCCAGGCACCC
This 114-nucleotide unclassified non-coding RNA is filed under the name uncultured fungus. RNAcentral's name for it is "sequence contains ITS1". Lineage: Eukaryota; Fungi. The record is from RNAcentral.